RNAcentral lists this transfer RNA (73 nucleotides) under Thermoleophilaceae bacterium. RNAcentral's name for it is "tRNA-Ala". It matches the Rfam family "tRNA". From Rfam's summary of the family: Transfer RNA (tRNA) molecules are approximately 80 nucleotides in length. Their secondary structure includes four short double-helical elements and three loops (D, anti-codon, and T loops). Further hydrogen bonds mediate the characteristic L-shaped molecular structure. tRNAs have two regions of fundamental functional importance: the anti-codon, which is responsible for specific mRNA codon recognition, and the 3' end, to which the tRNAs corresponding amino acid is attached (by aminoacyl-tRNA synthetases). tRNAs cope with the degeneracy of the genetic code in two manners: having more than one tRNA (with a specific anti-codon) for a particular amino acid; and 'wobble' base-pairing, i.e. permitting non-standard base-pairing at the 3rd anti-codon position. The record is from RNAcentral. RNAcentral also lists the same sequence under 2 other names. Lineage: Bacteria; Bacillati; Actinomycetota; Thermoleophilia; Thermoleophilales; Thermoleophilaceae.
GGGGCUAUAGCUCAGCUGGAAGAGCGCUUGCGUGGCACGCAAGAGGUCGCCGGUUCGAGCCCGGCUAGCUCCA